Molecule: ribosomal RNA, 252 nt
Filed under: uncultured bacterium
Lineage: Bacteria
Description: partial 16S ribosomal RNA
Rfam family: Bacterial small subunit ribosomal RNA
Source: RNAcentral
UACGGAGGAUGCGAGCGUUAUCCGGAUUUAUUGGGUUUAAAGGGUGCGUAGGCGGAUCGUUAAGUCAGUGGUCAAAUUGAGGGGCUCAACCCCUUCCCGCCAUUGAGACUGGCGAUCUUGAGUGGAAGAGAAGUAUGCGGAAUGCGUGGUGUAGCGGUGAAAUGCAUAGAUAUCACGCAGAACCCCGAUUGCGAAGGCAGCAUGCCGGCUUCCUACUGACGCUGAAGCACGAAAGCGUGGGGAUCGAACAGG